RNAcentral lists this ribosomal RNA (479 nucleotides) under uncultured bacterium. Its description in RNAcentral is "bacterial SSU rRNA". It matches the Rfam family "Bacterial small subunit ribosomal RNA", at positions 30 to 507 of the family's 1533-position model. The record is from RNAcentral.
AUUGAACGCUGGCGGAAUGCUUUACACAUGCAAGUCGAACGGUAGAGGGGGCAACCCCUCGAGAGUGGCGAACGGGUGAGUAAUAUAUCGGAACGUGCCCAGUCGUGGGGGAUAACGUAGCGAAAGUUACGCUAAUACCGCAUACGAUCUACGGAUGAAAGCGGGGGAUCGCAAGACCUCGCGCGAUUGGAGCGGCCGAUAUCAGAUUAGGUAGUUGGUGGGGUAAAGGCUCACCAAGCCAACGAUCUGUAGCUGGUCUGAGAGGACGACCAGCCACACUGGAACUGAGACACGGUCCAGACUCCUACGGGAGGCAGCAGUGGGGAAUUUUGGACAAUGGACGCAAGUCUGAUCCAGCCAUUCCGCGUGCAGGAUGAAGGCCCUCGGGUUGUAAACUGCUUUUGUACGGAACGAAAAGGUUUCUAUUAAUACUAGGAGCUCAUGACGGUACCGUAAGAAUAAGCACGGCUAACUACGUG